UACAUGGGGUGCAAACGUUGCUCGGAAUCAUUGGGCGUAAAGCGCGUGAAGGCGGUUACUUAAGUCGGAUGUGAAAGCCCUCGGCUUAACUGAGGAAGUGCAUCCGAAACUGGGUAGCUAGAGUACGAAAGAGGGUCGCGGAAUUCCCGGUGUAGAGGUGAAAUUCGUAGAUAUCGGGAGGAACACCGGUGGCGAAGGCGGCGACCUGGGUCGAGACUGACGCUAAUAUGCGAAAGCGUGGGGAGCAAACAGG
RNAcentral lists this ribosomal RNA (253 nucleotides) under uncultured bacterium. RNAcentral describes it as "partial 16S ribosomal RNA". It matches the Rfam family "Bacterial small subunit ribosomal RNA", at positions 524 to 776 of the family's 1533-position model. The record is from RNAcentral.